Molecule: ribosomal RNA, 254 nt
Filed under: uncultured bacterium
Lineage: Bacteria
Description: partial 16S ribosomal RNA
Rfam family: Bacterial small subunit ribosomal RNA
Source: RNAcentral
GACGUAGGGCGCGAGCGUUGUCCGGAUUUACUGGGCGUAAAGGGCGCGUAGGCGGCCACGACAAGUCAGCUGUGAAAUCUCCGGGCUUAACCCGGAACGGUCAGCUGAUACUGUCGGGCUAGAGUGCAGAAGGGGCAACUGGAAUUCUCGGUGUAGCGGUGAAAUGCGUAGAUAUCGAGAGGAACACCUGCGGCGAAGGCGGGUUGCUGGGCUGACACUGACGCUGAGGCGCGAAAGCUAGGGGAGCGAACGGG